UACGGGGGGGGCAAGCGUUGUUCGGAAUUACUGGGCGUAAAGGGCGCGUAGGCGGCCUGCUAAGUCGGACGUGAAAUCCCUCGGCUCAACCGGGGAACUGCGUCCGAUACUGGCGAGGCUUGAAUCCGGGAGAGGGAUGUGGAAUUCCAGGUGUAGCGGUGAAAUGCGCAGAUAUCAGGAGGAACACCGGUGGCGAAGGCGGGUCUCUGGGCCGAUACUGACGCUGAGGAGCGAAAGCGUGGGGAGCGAACAGG
RNAcentral lists this ribosomal RNA (254 nucleotides) under uncultured bacterium. Its description in RNAcentral is "partial 16S ribosomal RNA". It matches the Rfam family "Bacterial small subunit ribosomal RNA", at positions 524 to 776 of the family's 1533-position model. The record is from RNAcentral.